RNAcentral lists this long non-coding RNA (204 nucleotides) under Elaeis guineensis (African oil palm). Its description in RNAcentral is "long non-coding RNA (EGUI_LNC005475)". The record is from RNAcentral. Lineage: Eukaryota; Viridiplantae; Streptophyta; Magnoliopsida; Arecales; Arecaceae.
UUUCUUUUUUCCAACCUUCCGCCUCCCUUAGCUUCCAAAGGAGAAGCAGAGGGUGGUGCGGCCGGAUGGAAGGCACGGUCAGGAUCGAUGGGGUGGGCGAUCUGGAGGGAGACGGCGGUGAUUGAGAAAUCGAUAGAGGUGCAGAGGUGGGUGUCAGAGAAACCAGAGGCGGCGAGGAGGCCGAAGGCGAGGAUGGUGUGGAGG